This 465-nucleotide ribosomal RNA is filed under the name Vreelandella stevensii. RNAcentral describes it as "partial 16S ribosomal RNA". It matches the Rfam family "Bacterial small subunit ribosomal RNA", at positions 338 to 795 of the family's 1533-position model. Lineage: Bacteria; Pseudomonadati; Pseudomonadota; Gammaproteobacteria; Oceanospirillales; Halomonadaceae. The record is from RNAcentral.
UCUACGGGUGGCAGCAGUGGGGAAUAUUGGACAAUGGGCGAAAGCCUGAUCCAGCCAUGCCGCGUGUGUGAAGAAGGCCUUCGGGUUGUAAAGCACUUUCAGUGGGGAAGAAAGCCUUGGGGCUAAUACCCUCGAGGAAGGACAUCACCCACAGAAGAAGCACCGGCUAACGCCGUGCCAGCAGCCGCGGUAAUACGGAGGGUGCGAGCGUUAAUCGGAAUUACUGGGCGUAAAGCGCGCGUAGGCGGUCUGAUAAGCCGGUUGUGAAAGCCCCGGGCUCAACCUGGGAACGGCAUCCGGAACUGUCAGGCUAGAGUGCAGGAGAGGAAGGUAGAAUUCCCGGUGUAGCGGUGAAAUGCGUAGAGAUCGGGAGGAAUACCAGUGGCGAAGGCGGCCUUCUGGACUGACACUGACGCUGAGGUGCGAAAGCGUGGGUAGCAAACAGGAUUAGAUACCCGAGUAGUC